Molecule: ribosomal RNA, 393 nt
Filed under: uncultured bacterium
Lineage: Bacteria
Description: bacterial SSU rRNA
Rfam family: Bacterial small subunit ribosomal RNA
Source: RNAcentral
AUUGAACGCUGGCGGCAGGGCUAACACAUGCAAGUCGAACGGUAACAGGAAGAAGCUUGCUUCUUUGCUGACGAGUGGCGGACGGGUGAGUAAUGUCUGGGAAACUGCCUGAUGGAGGGGGAUAACUACUGGAAACGGUAGCUAAUACCGCAUAACGUCGCAAGACCAAAGAGGGGGACCUUCGGGCCUCUUGCCAUCGGAUGUGCCCAGAUGGGAUUAGCUAGUAGGUGGGGUAACGGCUCACCUAGGCGACGAUCCCUAGCUGGUCUGAGAGGAUGACCAGCCACACUGGAACUGAGACACGGUCCAGACUCCUACGGGAGGCAGCAGUGGGGAAUAUUGCACAAUGGGCGCAAGCCUGAUGCAGCCAUGCCGCGUGUAUGAAGAAGGCCU